This 1531-nucleotide long non-coding RNA is filed under the name Equus asinus (donkey). RNAcentral describes it as "lncRNA (ENSEASG00005025398.1)". Lineage: Eukaryota; Metazoa; Chordata; Mammalia; Perissodactyla; Equidae. The record is from RNAcentral.
GGUUUACAAAUUUUUUAAACAACAGGAAAAAUAUAAUUUGUGCUUUUUAUAAACCUAGGUGAAAUGAUAACUUAUAUGUUGGCCUGCUUGCCAAUUUAUCUUUUAAAAUUGAGUAUUGAUUCAGUUACUCAUUUAACACAUUUUUAUUGAGCACUUACUAUAUAUCUGGUACCCUUCUAGGGCUCUAGGCACUGGGGAUACAGCUAUGAAUGACACAUCCAUGGGACAAAUACCUAGAAUUGCUGGGUUGGAGGCCUCCUGUCUCUUCUGGGUCUACCAGGAUGUUUCUCCAUGGGGACUGCUAUUGUCAUUUCGGGGGGGCCAUUCUGCUCUGACUGAGAACCAUUGGAAUCUUCCUGGAUUGGGGGCAAGGAGAAGGGAUGGAAGAGCAAGAUGUUCUUGGAUUUAUGGACCUGAGUCAGCGGUGGGAAGGAAUCUCUGGUUGUCGUUUUAUUGGGUCUGGUUUUAUCUGGAUCUUUCUGCUGCUGCGUGGUAGUCUCUGUAUAGUCAAUGUGAUUGAAAUUCCUGGGAUGUUGUUCAUCUUCCUCUGGACUCUCUAUUGCUCAGGAUCACUAUAGCUUUAUCUUCUUUUGCCCCCACCGGUAAUCCAUGCCUCCAACAAUUCCUCUGGGGAAGGAGUAGCCCCAGGGUAAAUGAGGAUUCACCUUCCUUCACCUGAACGCCCUUGAGCACCCUCCCAAUUCUGGUCCUCCUUCUAACUCCAUGUGCCGUGUAGAAGCUGCAGGAAUGACUGGAGCCCUCUUGUGAAUCCUUUGAUAGAUUGUCUCCAUCUUCUUCCCAGGGCUACUCAGCAAGGAUUCUGCCUUCGUAAAUUUCCAGAAGAGCAGCAGGCACCAAGUUCUACUUUCAUGGAUAUUUCCAGACUCUAGGAGAAGCCUAUCAAGGUCUUUCGGGAGACAUCUUACUAUGCUCCACUUGGUUUGCAACCCCAGUAGGAGACUUCAGAUUGUAUAGUUCAGUGAGCAUCCACCCAAGGGUGCAGUGCCAGUUUCUUCUUUUCCAGAUACUCUCAGUCUCUAAAAGUGAUUAUCUUGCCACCCUGCCGAUCUCUUGGCUUCAUGAGGAAUGAGGAAGCAAGCCUCUAGAAAUAUCUUUCACCAAGGACCCACGAGAACACUCGCCCUUGGAAACCAGCUGCUGUGCACUAAGAAACCCAAGUCACAUGGAUGGCCACGUGUUGGCACUCUGGUUGAGAGCCCCACCUGGGCUCCUAGCUGACAGUCAGCAUCACCUAGCAGCCAUGAGACAAAGCCCACUCUUCUCAUCUAGCGAGUUGCCUUCAUAUCUGUGAGAGAGGCCCACGUGAACUGAAUUUCAUGGAUUGCGGUGGGAAUUAAAGCUGAGUCCUGACUCUUAGUUCAUGAAAAAUUAUCUGUGCAUGGUAAUAACAUAAUUCUGCUGCAUCUUUGUCAAAAGUGAUCAAUAUUUUUGAGUUCUUGGUGAUCUGUGAUAGUGGAAAACUAUACAUUUUGAUUAAAAAUUUUGAAAAUCUAGAUUUUUCAUAAUAAAU